UGCAGUCGAGCGGUAGCACAGAGAGCUUGCUCUCGGGUGACGAGCGGCGGACGGGUGAGUAAUGUCUGGGAAACUGCCUGAUGGAGGGGGAUAACUACUGGAAACGGUAGCUAAUACCGCAUAACGUCGCAAGACCAAAGUGGGGGACCUUCGGGCCUCAUGCCAUCAGAUGUGCCCAGAUGGGAUUAGCUUGUUGGUGAGGUAACGGCUCACCAAGGCGACGAUCCCUAGCUGGUCUGAGAGGAUGACCAGCCACACUGGAACUGAGACACGGUCCAGACUCCUACGGGAGGCAGCAGUGGGGAAUAUUGCACAAUGGGCGCAAGCCUGAUGCAGCCAUGCCGCGUGUAUGAAGAAGGCCUUCGGGUUGUAAAGUACUUUCAGCGAGGAGGAAGGCAUUGUGGUUAAUAACCGCAGUGAUUGACGUUACUCGCAGAAGAAGCACCGGCUAACUCCGUGCCAGCAGCCGCGGUAAUACGGAGGGUGCAAGCGUUAAUCGGAAUUACUGGGCGUAAAGCGCACGCAGGCGGUCUGUCAAGUCGGAUGUGAAAUCCCCGGGCUCAACCUGGGAACUGCAUUCGAAACUGGCAGGCUAGAGUCUUGUAGAGGGGGGUAGAAUUCCAGGUGUAGCGGUGAAAUGCGUAGAGAUCUGGAGGAAUACCGGUGGCGAAGGCGGCCCCCUGGACAAAGACUGACGCUCAGGUGCGAAAGCGUGGGGAGCAAACAGGAUUAGAUACCCUGGGAGUCCACGCUGUAAACGAUGUCGACUUGGAAGGUUGUUCCCUUGAAGAGUGGCUUCCGGAGCUAACGCGUUAAGUCGACCGCCUUGGGGAGUACGCCCGCGAGGGUGAAAACUCAAAUGAAUUGACGGGGGGCCCGCACA
This 883-nucleotide ribosomal RNA is filed under the name Lelliottia amnigena. Its description in RNAcentral is "bacterial SSU rRNA". It matches the Rfam family "Bacterial small subunit ribosomal RNA", at positions 56 to 927 of the family's 1533-position model. The record is from RNAcentral. Lineage: Bacteria; Pseudomonadati; Pseudomonadota; Gammaproteobacteria; Enterobacterales; Enterobacteriaceae.